CGACGGAAUUCCGAGGAAGCAAAAUUUUGUAUUUCCUCGGAAUUGCCUCGGAAAUGCCUCGGUAUAUUCCGAGGAAUUCAUUUUCCGUCGGAUCGUCCGUCAGAAUACCGCUGUUUUCUUGUAGUGCCAUCACCACAACUCUGGUUUUUUUCAAAAUUCAAAGCCACUAACCAAUCUAACCAGAAAAAAAUAUGCUUUUACUGAAAUGCCCAUAUCUGGUUUCGCUUUUAGGAGGAGAAAUGGGUCUUUAACCACUUAAAAAUGUCUCAGUAGCACUAUGUGUUCUAUGCUGUAAUAAAAACACAUAAAGUGUCCAUUUGUGUUAAUAACUAUUCUUUGAAUCGCAACAUAUCCGAAGUGUAGAGAAAAUUGGUUUCUUAACAUAAUAAGACUUCGACACGUAGUCUGCAAACUCUGUCCCAGACCUCAACCUGCAUAUGCUUCCCUCAUCUUACGUUUUUGAAAGUAAAUGAAGAGUAUUUCAAAAAGUACAAUCAUAAAUGUUAACUAAUAAAGAUUUGGUUAACUAAUAAAGAUUUGGUCAGAAUAUCCAGGCCCUGCCCUGACCUAAAGCCGCUUUAGGCACCAAAUUAUAUCACGAAUUUAGGAGCACAAAAUUUUGUCAAAACUAUCUAGUAUAGGCAAAAGGCAUGAUAUGAUGAUGCUAGGCACUGAGAAUACCAUCAGCUAAAUUCUCUCUUCGGAGGUUAGAUCCAGAUCGGCAAUUUUAUCUUACUCUCGAUUUAGAUCCGCCAAAGUUAGUGGCGUGUACGGCUCUCUUGUUUGGUCUUCGUCGGUGUGGGGCGAUGGCAUCGGCUAUCUAUCCUCCGCAUCGGUGUCUCGGUGUAGGAGGAGUCUUUGACCCCGUACAGAUCGGACUUUGACAAUUUCCUCUGUCAAGGCAUGCGUCGGUUUCGCUUCUCCUGCCAGUGUCGGUUUGAAGCUUUCCAACAGCAUGUAUAAAGUUUCUAGUUCGGUGAGACAGGGAGUCGUGUACACUUUGGCGUCAUCUUCUUGUUCUCUGCUCUGGUUUUCGCCUUCAAUCCACGACUUGUCUUGUGAUUCUCUUUCCACCAGAAGUGCACAUCCUAGGUGGAGAGCUGUCGGGUUCUGGCCUUCAUGUUUAGUAGCGAUCGUUAGUUACCGUUCGGCUACAUUUCAAGUUGAAGAACCAUCUUCUUGUUUUAAGAGGUGGAGUGAGUGGGAGUUUGUUAUGAUUCACAAGUGUCCAGAGCUCCAACCUCUCCAUCCCAGUAUGGGAGUCUUGAUCUCUACAAGCUUCGACAUGAUUCCUUCUUUCUUCUUAUUGCAGGCACUCCACUUGAUUACGCGGCCUCAGUUCAAUCUGGUCCUUGCUCGGUGUUGGGUGAAUUUGUCUUGGACGUUUGAUCCAGUUAUAUAUAUGAAUUUUCCGGGUCUUGUUUAACCAGAUUUACGCUUAAACGUCAGUGGAGAUUGCGAGCGUGAAGAGAACAUCAUGAACUAUGUUCAUAGCAUAAGAUGUGCCAGUAACCGAGGAAACAAGGUGAACACUAUCUUUCAAGUGAUUACCGUCAAUGACUGGGGACAGAAAAUGAAAAUCUUAAGAUAUCGUAACUACCUAGCAGAAUGAGCCGAUGGAGUGGUGGUUGAACGAAUUUAAAGAUAUUACGGUAGACUGAGAUCAUUUUAUUUGAAUCGUUUGGAACCAAAAGCUUGAAUUUCUGAUUUUCAGAAAAAUUAAUAAAAACAAAUAUAUAAAAAAAUAUUUGGAUAGAAAACAAUAUUUAACGUU
Long non-coding RNA from Brassica rapa (field mustard), 1774 nucleotides. RefSeq lists it as uncharacterized. NCBI's taxonomy places the organism in Eukaryota, Viridiplantae, Streptophyta, Magnoliopsida, Brassicales, Brassicaceae. The record is from RefSeq and is a predicted model, not a curated record.